CAGCGUCAAGGUGGCCAAGGUGGAAUACGUCAGGAAGAAGCCAAAAUUAAAAGAAGUCCAGGUGAGGUUAGAGGAGCAUUUGGAGUGCACCUGCGCGACCACCAGCCUGAAUCCGGAUUAUCGGGAAGAGGACACGGAUGUGAGGUGAGGAUGAGCCGCAGCCCUUUCCUGGGACAUGGAUGUACAUGGCGUGUUACAUUCCUGAACCUACUAUGUACGGUGCUUUAUUGCCAGUGUGCGGUCUUUGUUCUCCUCCGUGAAAAACUGUGUCCGAGAACACUCGGGAGAACAAAGAGACAGUGCACAUUUGUUUAAUGUGACAUCAAAGCAAGUAUUGUAGCACUCGGUGAAGCAGUAAGAAGCUUCCUUGUCAAAGAGAGAGAGAGAGAGAGAGAGAGAAAACAAAACCACAAAUGACAAAAACAAAACGGACUCACAAAAAUAUCUAAACUCGAUGAGAUGGAGGGUCGCCCCGUGGGAUGGAAGUGCAGAGGUCUCAGCAGACUGGAUUUCUGUCCGGGUGGUCACAGGUGCUUUUUUGCCGAGGAUGCAGAGCCUGCUUUGGGAACGACUCCAGAGGGGUGCUGGUGGGCUCUGCAGGGGCCCGCGGGAAGCAGGAAUGUCUUGGAAACCGCCACGCGAACUUUAGAAACCACACCUCCUCGCUGUAGUAUUUAAGCCCAUACAGAAACCUUCCUGAGAGCCUUAAGUGGUUUUUGUUUUGUUUUUUUGUUUUUGUUUUUGUUUUGUUUUUUUUUUUUUUACACCAUAAAGUGAUUAUUAAGCUUUCCUUUUUACUCUUUGGCUAGCUUGCUUUUUUUUUUUUUUUUUUUUUUUUUAUCUCUUGGAUGACAUUUACACCGAUAACACACAGGCUGCUGUAACUGUCAGGACAGUGCGACGGUAUUUUUCCUAGCAAGAUGCAAACUAAUGAGAUGUAUUAAAAUAAACAUGGUAUACCUACCUAUGCAUCAUUUCCUAAAUGUUUCUGGCUUUGUGUUUCUCCCUUACCCUGCUUUAUUUGUUAAUUUAAGCCAUUUUGAAAGAACUAUGCGUCAACCAAUCGUAUGCCGUCCCUGCGGCACCUGCCCCAGAGCCCAUUUGUGGCUGAGUGACACCUUGUUCCCCGCAGUGCACACCUAGAAUGCUGUGUUCCCACGCGGCACAUGAGAUGCAUUGCCGCUUCUGUCUGUGUUGUUGGUGUGCCCUGGUGCCGUGGUGGCGGUCACUCCCUCUGCUGCCAGUGUUUGGACAGAACCCAAAUUCUUUAUUUUUGGUAAGAUAUUGUGCUUUACGUGUAUUAACAGAAAUGUGUGU
RNAcentral lists this long non-coding RNA (1317 nucleotides) under Pan troglodytes (chimpanzee). RNAcentral describes it as "long non-coding RNA NONPTRT016508". The record is from RNAcentral. Lineage: Eukaryota; Metazoa; Chordata; Mammalia; Primates; Hominidae.